AUGUGACUGUGUGGUGGUUGAUUUACAUGUGACUGUGUGGAGGUUGAUUUACAUGUGACUGUGUGGAGGUUGAUUUACAUGUGACUGUGUGGAGGUUGAUUUACAUGUGACUGUGUGGAGGUUGAUUUACAUGUGACUGUGUGGUGGUUGAUUUACAUGUGACUGUGUGGUGGUUGAUUUACAUGUGACUGUGUGGUGGUUGAUUUACAUGUGACUGUGUGGUGGUUGAUUUACAUGUGACUGUGUGGAGGUUGAUUUACAUGUGACUGUGUGGAGGUUGAUUUACAUGUGACUGUGUGGUGGUUGAUUUACAUGUGACUGUGUGGAGGUUGAUUUACAUGUGACUGUGUGGAGGUUGAUUUACAUGUGACUGUGUGGAGGUUGAUUUACAUGUGACUGUGUGGAGGUUGAUUUACAUGUGACUGUGUGGUGGUUGAUUUACAUGUGACUGUGUGGUGGUUGAUUUACAUGUGACUGUGUGGAGGUUGAUUUACAUGUGACUGUGUGGAGGUUGAUUUACAUGUGACUGUGUGGUGGUUGAUUUACAUGUGACUGUGUGGUGGUUGAUUUACAUGUGACUGUGUGGUGGUUGAUUUACAUGUGACUGUGUGGAGGUUGAUUUACAUGUGACUGUGUGGAGGUUGAUUUACAUGUGAC
This is a long non-coding RNA of Oncorhynchus keta (chum salmon), 657 nucleotides long. RefSeq lists it as uncharacterized. The transcript has 3 exons. NCBI's taxonomy places the organism in Eukaryota, Metazoa, Chordata, Actinopteri, Salmoniformes, Salmonidae. The record is from RefSeq and is a predicted model, not a curated record.